Molecule: ribosomal RNA, 301 nt
Filed under: uncultured bacterium
Lineage: Bacteria
Description: partial 16S ribosomal RNA
Rfam family: Bacterial small subunit ribosomal RNA
Source: RNAcentral
CAGUAGCCACGGUAAUACAGAGGGUGCGAGCGUUAAUCGGAAUUACUGGGCGUAAAGCGCGCGUAGGUGGUUUAUUAAGUUGGAUGUGAAAUCCCUGGGCUCAACCUGGGAACUGCAUCCAAAACUGGCAGGCUAGAGUAGGGCAGAGGGUGGUGGAAUUUCCUGUGUAGCGGUGAAAUGCGUAGAUAUAGGAAGGAACACCAGUGGCGAAGGCGACCACCUGGGCUCAUACUGACACUGAGGUGCGAAAGCGUGGGGAGCAAACAGGAUUAGAUACCCCAGUAGUCCCUGUCUCUUAUAC